GAUGAACGCUGGCGGCGCGCCUAACACAUGCAAGUCGAACGGUUAAAGCACCUUUUAGGUGUGUAUAAAGUGGCGAACGGCUGAGUAACACGUGGGCAACCUGCCCUCCUCUUGGGGAUAGCCUCGGGAAACCGAGGAUAAUACCCGAUACUUCAAUGUGGCCGCAUGGCGACAUUGAGAAAGCUUUUGCGGAGAAGGAUGGGCCCGCGGCCUGUUAGCUUGUUGGUGGGGUAGAGGCCUACCAAGGCAAUGAUGGGUAGCUGGGUUGAGAGACCGACCAGCCAGAUUGGGACUGAGACACGGCCCAGACUCCUACGGGAGGCAGCAGUGGGGAAUCUUGCACAAUGGGCGAAAGCCUGAUGCAGCGACGCCGCGUGCGGGACGAAGGCCUUCGGGUUGUAAACCGCUUUGCAGCAGGGACGAGGCGAUAAGUGACGGUACCUGCAGAAGAAGCCCCGCUAA
RNAcentral lists this ribosomal RNA (462 nucleotides) under Lancefieldella rimae. RNAcentral's name for it is "bacterial SSU rRNA". It matches the Rfam family "Bacterial small subunit ribosomal RNA", at positions 28 to 500 of the family's 1533-position model. The record is from RNAcentral. Lineage: Bacteria; Bacillati; Actinomycetota; Coriobacteriia; Coriobacteriales; Atopobiaceae.